AUAUGUGUUUUCUUUCCAGUAGCACCACCACCAUCACCACCACAACAACAACAACAACAACCACAACAACAACAACAACAACAGGAAUGGGUGUCACCUGGCCAGCCUUCGCCACACUAGGACCUGCUCCCCGCCCGCUCCUGCCUGCUGCACCUGCCUACACCUCGCCGUGACAGGAGCGUGACAGAUAGACAAACAGAUUGACAGAUAAACAGACAGACUGAAUCAUGCGUGUGUGGUGGUGGCUGACGGUGGCGGCGCUGGUGGUGGCGGCGCUGGGGGUCCCUGGGGCAAACGCGCAGAGGAGCUCCAACAGACUCGCGCAGAUUAUGAGGACCAUGAUGAGUGGCGUGGGCAACGUGGCGUCCAGGAUAAGCAAAGGCAU
Scylla paramamosain (green mud crab) is the source of this 385-nucleotide long non-coding RNA. RefSeq lists it as uncharacterized. The transcript has 3 exons. NCBI's taxonomy places the organism in Eukaryota, Metazoa, Arthropoda, Malacostraca, Decapoda, Portunidae. The record is from RefSeq and is a predicted model, not a curated record.